Pelobates cultripes (western spadefoot toad) is the source of this 356-nucleotide non-coding RNA. Lineage: Eukaryota; Metazoa; Chordata; Amphibia; Anura; Pelobatidae. The record is from the annotation of a GenBank genome assembly.
CCGCGAUUACGCUGGAUGUCCAUAAGAAAGCAUUGUGUAAUGCUUUCCUAUAGGUGGUUUGCCGUGCAUGCGCAUUCGGAGCCAAGAGGCGGGACGGAGAGGUCCCCAGUGCCAAGGGAGCCCGGCGCUGGAGAAAGGUAAGUGCUGAAGGGGUUUUAACCACACACACACUCUCUCAUGAACAGACACAUACACACUAGCUAACUGACACACACAUUUACUGACAGACACACACACACAUACACACUCACUUACAAAACAUACACUCUCACUGACAAACACAUAGUCACUAACAGACACACACUAACAGACACACACUGACACACACAAACACAGUAACACACACACACACACAC